GACGAACGCUGGCGGCGUGCUUAACACAUGCAAGUCGAACGGAAAGUCCCUGCUUUUGUGGGGUGCUCGAGUGGCGAACGGGUGAGUAACACGUGAGUAACCUGCCCUUGACUUUGGGAUAACUUCAGGAAACUGGGGCUAAUACCGGAUAGGAGCUCCUGCUGCAUGGUGGGGGUUGGAAAUUUUCGGCGGUUGGGGAUGGACUCGCGGCUUAUCAGCUUGUUGGUGGGGUAGUGGCUUACCAAGGCUUUGACGGGUAGCCGGCCUGAGAGGGUGACCGGCCACAUUGGGACUGAGAUACGGCCCAGACUCCUACGGGAGGCAGCAGUGGGGAAUAUUGCACAAUGGGCGGAAGCCUGAUGCAGCAACGCCGCGUGCGGGAUGACGGCCUUCGGGUUGUAACCCGCUUUCGCCUGUGACGAAGCGUGAGUGACGGUAAUGGGUAAAGAAGCACCGGCUAACUACGUG
This 468-nucleotide ribosomal RNA is filed under the name uncultured bacterium. Its description in RNAcentral is "partial 16S ribosomal RNA". It matches the Rfam family "Bacterial small subunit ribosomal RNA", at positions 28 to 507 of the family's 1533-position model. The record is from RNAcentral.